This 463-nucleotide long non-coding RNA is filed under the name Durio zibethinus. RNAcentral describes it as "long non-coding RNA (DZIB_LNC000056)". Lineage: Eukaryota; Viridiplantae; Streptophyta; Magnoliopsida; Malvales; Malvaceae. The record is from RNAcentral.
CCAAUUCUAAUUAACUCAAGACUCGAAGAUAAUUUAAAAUGAAAUAGGAUAUCUACAUCUAUCAUAGAUUCACAUAUAGUAAUAUAAAGAGAGACAAAAUGAAAACAUAAGCAUAUAAACUAUUACUUAUUAUAACAGUUUACAGAUGAAACUAUACAGCCAACUUAGGAAGCUGAAGUGGCUGCUCAACAGCUGGGUUGAGAAGGUGUUUCCGAGGGCCACGAAAGCUUCCAUGAUUCACCCGCUGUUUCCUCUGAUGUGAAUUUCCAGCAUUAUUGUCUCCAACAACUGCACCAACUCCAGUGGCAGCGGCUCAAUAGAUGGUUGUGAAGGAGGCAAAUAUUAAGAUAAAAAGAAGUAAGAGAUGUAAACAAGGCCUUGACUCUGACAUUUUGAUUUCUGUCGGGGGAGUGGGUGGAUGGAGGGUUUAAUAAAGAAAACUCAAAAGUAAAGGCAUAACUAU